RNAcentral lists this ribosomal RNA (358 nucleotides) under uncultured Latescibacterota bacterium. RNAcentral describes it as "bacterial SSU rRNA". It matches the Rfam family "Bacterial small subunit ribosomal RNA", at positions 1026 to 1382 of the family's 1533-position model. The record is from RNAcentral. Lineage: Bacteria; Pseudomonadati; Candidatus Latescibacterota.
CGACCUGCACAGGUGCUGCAUGGCUGUCGUCAGCUCGUGUCGUGAGAUGUUGGGUUAAGUCCCGCAACGAGCGCAACCCUUAUCCCCAGUUGCCAUCAGGUAAAGCUGGGAACUCUGGGGAGACUGCCGGUGAUAAACCGGAGGAAGGCGGGGAUGACGUCAAGUCCUCAUGGCCCUUACCAUCCCGGGCUACACACGUGCUACAAUGGCAGGUACAGAGGGCUGCGAAGCCGCGAGGUGGAGCGAAUCCCAGAAAACCUGUCUCAGUCCGGAUUGAAGUCUGCAACUCGACUUCAUGAAGGCGGAAUCGCUAGUAACCGCGAAUCAGCAGGUCGCGGUGAAUACGUUCCCGGGCCUU